GAAAGUAAGCAAGGGCAGACGGUGGAUGCCUUGGCUCUCGGAGGCGACGAAGGACGUGAUAAGCUGCGAAAAGCCCGGGGGAGGCGCAAAUAGCCCUUGAUCCCGGGAUAUCCGAAUGGGGCAACCCGGCAGGCUGAAGGCCUGUCAUCCCGUAAGGGAGGCGAACGUGGGGAACUGAAACAUCUAAGUACCCAUAGGAGGAGAAAAUAAACAAUGAUUCCGUAAGUAGUGGCGAGCGAACACGGAAGAGCCCAAACCCAUGUCGUCUAGGCGACACGGGGGUUGUAGGACCACGACGUGGCAAGAUAGAGUCAAGUGGAACGCCUUGGAAAAGGCGGUCAUAGAGGGUGAAAACCCCGUACACGACUGACGAUUGAAGCCUAGUGGCAUCCUGAGUAGCGCGGGGCACGAGAAAUCUUGCGUGAAACAGCGGGGCCCAUCCCGUAAGGCUAAAUACUCCCGAGAGACCGAUAGCGAACCAGUACCGUGAGGGAAAGGUGAAAAGAACCCCGAGCAGGGGAGUGAAAUAGACCCUGAACCCGUCUGCCUACAAGCGGUCGGAGCAUAGCAAUAUGUGACGGCGUGCCUUUUGCAUAAUGAACCUACGAGUUACCUUCCCCGGCAAGGUUAAGUACCUAAGGUACGGAGCCGAAGCGAAAGCGAGUCUGAAGAGGGCGGCCAGUCGGGGGGGGUAGACGCGAAACCGAGUGAUCUACCCUUGGCCAGGUUGAAGGUUGGGUAACACCAACUGGAGGACCGGAUGGGUAAGCGUUGAAAAGCUUUCCAAUGAGCUGAGGGUAGGGGUGAAAGGCUAAUCAAACUCGGAGAUAGCUCGUACUCCCCGAAAUGCAUUUAGGUGCAGCCUCUUUAUAGUAUAUCGUGAGGUAGAGCGACUGAUUGGAUGCGAGGGCUUCACCGCCUAUCAAGUCCAGAUAAACUCCGAAUGCGCGAUAUAUAUUUACAGGGAGUGAGGGCGCGGGUGCUAAGGUCCGUGUCCGAGAGGAGAAGAAUCCAGACCACCGGCUAAGGCCCCCAAAUGAUCGUUGAGUUGAACUAACGAGGUCGGAUCGCAGAGACAGCUAGGAUGUUGGCUUGGAAGCAGCCAUUCAUUUAAAGAGUGCGUAACAGCUCACUAGUCGAGCGAUCUGGCGUGGAUAAUAAUCGGGCAUAAACGAUCUGCCGAAGCCGUGGAUGUCGUAAGACAUGGUAGGGGAGCAUUCCAUGCGGCGUCGAAGAUGAGGGAUGACCCUUGUUGGAGCGCAUGGAAAAGCAAAUGUAGGUAUGAGUAACGAUAAGGGGGGCGAGAAACCCCCCCGCCGAAAGACCAAGGUUUCCUGAUCAACGCUAAUCGGAUCAGGGUGAGUCGGGACCUAAGGCAAAGCCGAACGGCGCCGCCGAUGGAAGAAUGGGUUAAUAUUCCCAUACUGCCUCAUGGAGUGACGUGGAGACGGAGAAGUGACAGUCCUGCCGGCUGACGGAAUAGCCGGUUGAAGGGUGUAGAUAUUGAUUCCCGUAGGCAAAUCCGCGGGGAGAGUCGAACCUGAGAGUAUACGGAGCGCUUGCGCGACGUAAUAUGGACGUAACCAUGCUCCCAAGAAAAUCCGCUAAACUUAUCCAUGCGGCACCCGUACCGUAAACGGACACACGUGGUCGGGUUGAGAAUACUGAGGCGCUCGAGUGACUCACGGUUAAGGAACUAGGCAAAUUGACCCUGUAACUUCGGGAUAAAGGGUCCUCGUCGUAAGGCGAGGCGCAGAGAAUAGGUCCAGGCAACUGUUUAACAAAAACACAUGGCUAUGCUAAAUGGAAACAUGACGUAUAUAGCCUGACACCUGCCCGGUGCUGGAAGGUUAAGAGGAGAUGUCAUCGCAAGAGAAGCGUUGAAUUGAAGCCCCAGUAAACGGCGGCCGUAACUAUAACGGUCCUAAGGUAGCGAAAUUCCUUGUCGGGUAAGUUCCGACCUGCACGA
RNAcentral lists this ribosomal RNA (1969 nucleotides) under human gut metagenome. Its description in RNAcentral is "bacterial LSU rRNA". It matches the Rfam family "Bacterial large subunit ribosomal RNA", at positions 1 to 1995 of the family's 2925-position model. The record is from RNAcentral.